UCGUCUCGUCUUCCUUGUACUAGUAAAAGCCAACGGCGUGUCAUCGUGCCCAUUUCUUUUCUCAAUAAUGGAGUUGCCCUAUUUCUGUUUCUGUCUCUGUCUCGUGAUAACCUCUGCAUUAUGUUCCCUCGUUUCAGCAGGGAAAAACCGUUUUCUUUUUUGCACAAGCAAACAUUCGUUGCAGGUUAACAGAAGCGAUGAUGCUGCC
This 208-nucleotide long non-coding RNA is filed under the name Hordeum vulgare. RNAcentral describes it as "long non-coding RNA (HVUL_LNC006512)". Lineage: Eukaryota; Viridiplantae; Streptophyta; Magnoliopsida; Poales; Poaceae. The record is from RNAcentral.